RNAcentral lists this ribosomal RNA (250 nucleotides) under uncultured bacterium. Its description in RNAcentral is "partial 16S ribosomal RNA". It matches the Rfam family "Bacterial small subunit ribosomal RNA", at positions 355 to 597 of the family's 1533-position model. The record is from RNAcentral.
UGGGGAAUUUUGGACAAUGGACGCAAGUCUGAUCCAGCAAUGCCGCGUGCGGGAAGAAGGCCUUCGGGUUGUAAACCGCUUUUGUCAGGGAAGAAAUCUUCUGGGUUAAUACCUCGGGAGGAUGACGGUACCUGAAGAAUAAGCACCGGCUAACUACGUGCCAGCAGCCGCGGUAAUACGUAGGGUGCGAGCGUUAAUCGGAAUUACUGGGCGUAAAGCGUGCGCAGGCGGUUAUGCAAGACAGAUGUGA